AAGACUAUAGACCUGCGGAGUACCUGCGGAGGGAUCAUCAUUGAAUUUCCGGCUUAAUGCCGGUUGAGUGCACACUCACGCCGCCUUUACGGUGGCAACUCUCAAACCCAAACUAGUCAGUGAAUGUGAAUUUGUAUAAUAAAUACAACUUUCAGCAACGGAUCUCU
Molecule: unclassified non-coding RNA, 167 nt
Filed under: soil metagenome
Description: partial contains 5.8S ribosomal RNA, internal transcribed spacer 2, and large subunit ribosomal RNA
Source: RNAcentral